Long non-coding RNA from Malus domestica (apple), 1447 nucleotides. RefSeq lists it as uncharacterized. The record is from RefSeq and is a predicted model, not a curated record. Lineage: Eukaryota; Viridiplantae; Streptophyta; Magnoliopsida; Rosales; Rosaceae.
CUUCCUUCUUGGCGCACCCCUAUUCUUCACCCUCUAAAUUUUAGGUCACAACAUUAUAACUAUACUAAAACUCAGUUGAGAAACAUUAUUCACCAACAAUGCAUUCACAAAGCCCCUCCAACUGCUUCCAUACCCAGCAUUUUCAUAUUGUUACACAGUGAAUUUAUGAUUUUUCCCUUAAGUGAGUUGUUGGCUGGGAAUCCUUACGCGUGUUUAGUGGGACGUGUGGCACUUUACUCACCUCUUAUUCUCCAACUUUUGCUUCUCUUUGAGUUUUGUUCCACACACAAAACUAAAUCGGCGCUGCUCUCUUCUUCUCUCACAAAACUAAGCCAUCGCCGUUGUUCUUCUUUCUAAAAAAAACACGAUCCUCGACAUUUCUGUCAACAUUCAAGCUUUUGCAUGCACAAAUUCGUUUCGUGUAUAUACAAAUUUUUAAAAUCAGCAAGCGUUAGGACUCGGAUUUCUCACUUCAAUCGAUGAUGGAGGAGUGGAAGAGAUUGGGAGGCAGAUGAGUAAGACUUGUGAUGGUUUCACAUAAAUGAAUGGUCUCACAUCUUCAACCAGAUUACUCCCAGUUUGACAUGUGGUUGUUUUUCAAGUAUAUCGAUCAGUUCAAGUGGUUGUUUUUCAAGUAUAACGAUCAGUUCUCUAGGUGCUUCUAUGUGGAAUACAAGAAAUGUGGGGUUGACGUAUAAUGUCAGGCACUGUUUAUAUGAUAAGUCCAUGUCACCUAACCCUAGGGAGGUACGGCUAAAGGGGGCGCGGCAAGGAGUCUUUAAAUACUUCGUGUGUUUCCUCUCAGAAAGAUAAUGCAAAGGUUGUUCAUUUUAAUUAUCCACUAGGGAAAAGAGAGAAAAACUUUAAGCAUUCUAUAUUGAUCCAAGGGGCUAGCACAUCAAAUUUAUCACUCCAUCAUUCGUUGCUAGAUUUAUCAGUAUAGAUACACUUAAGAGUCUCAACAUUUGGGGAGUUUUAUGUGAUCAAUCAUGAAGAGGAAGAUUGCAAGCAUAUGGAUCAUCCAAUUAAGUGACAUGCAUGUAAAUAGAGUUUAUGAAGCUUCGCUUGAUCACUCACUGAAUUUCGUUUUUUUUUUCAAAUUUUCGUUUUGAUAACAUGAUUUUUUUUAGUGGAUGCGGAAAGAAGAAUUGUUUGGAUCAUUAAUAUCACGUUCAGAUUUUUACGGUUAGUGAAAAUAUUGCUUGGAGUUUAUAAGUCUUUAGAAACUAUAUAACAUUGACUCAUAUUUGUAAACAUUGAAACGUGAUAUCAACGAUAUGAAUCGAACAUUUUUCUGCAUCCGCUAAAAGAUCUCAUUUUAAAAAAAUAAAAUCUAAAAAAUAAAAUCCAGUGAGAAAAAUAGAGCGUAGGGGUUAAAUAAAAAUCUAGAGUUUAUGGAUUAUGAUGUUGAAUUUUAGGGUUGACUUGUUCACAAAUUUGUAAAGCG